GCCCGCUCAGAAACUUAAAGGAAUUGACGGGGGCCCGCACAAGCGGAGGAGCAUGUGGUUUAAUUCGAUGAUACGCGAGGAACCUUACCUGGGCUCGAACGUAAGAUGACUGUAGGUGAAAGCUUACAUCUCUUCGGAGCAUUUUACGAGGUGCUGCAUGGUUGUCGUCAGCUCGUGCCGUGAGGUGUCGGGUUAAGUCCCAUAACGAGCGCAACCCCUACCUUUAGUUGCCAUCAGGUUAAGCUGGGGACUCUAAAGGAACUGCCUACGCAAGUAGUGAGGAAGGCGGGGAUGACGUCAAAUCAGCACGGCCCUUACGUCCAGGGCUACACACGUGCUACAAUGGCCGAUACAGAGGGCAGCUACCUGGUGACAGGAUGCAAAUCUCCAAAGUCGGUCUCAGUUCGGAUCGGAGUCUGCAACCCGACUCCGUGAAGUUGGAUUCGCUAGUAAUCGCGCAUCAGCCAUGGCGCGGUGAAUACGUUCCCGGGCCUU
This 495-nucleotide ribosomal RNA is filed under the name uncultured Sphingobacteriales bacterium. RNAcentral's name for it is "bacterial SSU rRNA". It matches the Rfam family "Bacterial small subunit ribosomal RNA", at positions 887 to 1382 of the family's 1533-position model. The record is from RNAcentral. Lineage: Bacteria; Pseudomonadati; Bacteroidota; Sphingobacteriia; Sphingobacteriales.